AGUAAAAGACAGGAAAAAAUAACAACAACAAAAAAAGAAAAGUUAUCUUAACCUUCACCUAGUGGCAAUAAAGCAAAGCUCUGAAGUUCGGUAUUGACAGUCUCAGUUGUCAGUCCCCGAAUCCAAGCCUGCACACGAACCGCAUCAGAUCCCGAAACUAAGCCCGUUUCUCAGCAAAUCACAUCAGUAUCAAAACUAAAUGAACUCCAUCUCAUUUUAAACAUCACUCUCACGUAUUGAACAUCUCCUCUGUUUCUUUAGAAACAUCUUCUAACAUCAUGUUAGAUGCUGUUUUUUUUUUUUAAAUCAGGAAUGCAUUGAAGCCAGUAUUCAGUCUCUAACUAAAUGAGUUUUCUUUUGCGGGCAAACUUUACUGCUUUAACCACAAACGUAACAAAGUCUACUUGGAGGAACGUGCUUGGAAUAACGUCGGAAGAUGCCGGUAUUUAAAAUGGUUUUAAAUCACGCUGCUGGUGCUCACAACACUGAAAUGAGUAGUGUUAUGUUUCGUGGAGAAGACUGAACCUUAAAUCGUCUCCGUUAAAGCUGAUAGGAGCAAGAGAGAAGAAGAACGUGGAACUCCCAGUGAAAAACUAGUUAGAAGAGUAACACCCAUGUCUUGAAAAAAGAAACCGUUUUGUGUGACGGACUUGUUCAGAGAUUUUGAGCUGUAUAUCAAAGGAACUUCUCAAGUACUGACUCUUUAAAGUGCUGCUCAUGGCGAUCAACGAUUCAUUAGAGGUUAUAGUUUUGGUAGAAGAAAACGUGACAUUUCCUCAUCCCCUAUAUGAUGUAAAUAUUACAGAUGGCCGUGCAGCCGAUGAUGUUCUUCUUCUGAUCGUAAAGGGAACUCUUUUAGCCCUGUUCAUCCUGUUGACCGUGUGUGGUAACAUGCUGGUGCUGAUGGCCGUCUUCAUCUUUUCCCAUUUACGCACUGCUACCAACUACUUUAUAGUUAACCUGGCCUUAGCGGACCUCUUGCUAGGACUAACCGUCCUUCCAUUUUCGGCAUCCCUGGAGCUUCUGAAGCAGUGGCAUUUUGGGGAAGAGUUUUGCACAGUGUGGGCUGCCACGGACGUUCUGUGUUGUACGGCAUCUAUUGUUAGUCUGUGUGUUAUCAGUACAGAGCGUUAUAUCGGUGUUACUCAGCCACUUACCUACUCCAGCAUCGUGACGAGGAGAAGAGCCAUUGUUGCCUGCUUCGCUGUGUGGGCCUUGUCCUUGUCUAUCUCUGUAGGACCUCUAUUAGGAUGGCGAGAGCCCCCUCCGUCAGAUCCCGUAAUUUGCGAAGUCAAUAAAGACAAAGAUUACGUGCUUUUCUCAGUGGUAUUUUCCUUCUAUAUUCCACUUACUAUCAUUCUUAUCCUCUACUUCAAAAUCUACAAGGCUGCAGCGAAACAAACCAAGUUUUUAGAAACCGGAGUGCGGCGGGUCCGUUCAUCUGGAAACAACAGCUCAGAAGAAAUUACACUCAGAGUGCACACGGGCACCCAGUACGCUGCGACGUCGUUACAAUCCAGAAGGCUGACAGACGACUACGGAGACUGUAUCUCUCAACGCCAUUUGGUCGGAGGUCAUCAAGGACGUCUGGGAAAAUUCAGACGACAGAAAAAAGCAGCCAAGACGUUGGGAAUCGUCGUAGGUGUCUUCAUUUUGUGUUGGUUCCCUUUUUUCUUCCUGCUACCUUUGAGCGCCCUCUGUGAACAGUGCCAAGUUCCCAAGCUUCUCUUCGACACUGUCUUCUGGAUCGGGUAUUUUAACAGCUGUUUAAACCCGAUUAUUUAUGCGCGAUCAAGCCGAGAUUUCCAGCGGGCCUUCGGGGACAUCCUGCAGUGCCGGUGGACUCGGCAAACUCGGAGUGAUGACAGGAGGUAUACUAAGAAUACGGUUAUUCUGACUUUAAGAACCAGUCGUCCUGCGGAGAACGGCAGGAAUUCGGACUCUGAUCCUCCUGUUACUCAUAGUACCAGUAGGCCUAGUUCCAGGAAGACUUCCGAGAGUCUGUCUUGAACGCGGUCAAAAACUGUUACCAAUAUUUCGCUUGGAGCAGUAGUAAUAAACUCCUUAAUAUCAUUCUUAAUUCUCAGUCAAACGUUGAAUAAAAUUGUUUCCGAUUUUAGUUUCAAUAUGCGACAGUAAGAACAACAACAACAACAAAAAAACAACGUUUCGAAACUACGUUCCAAAAGUUUUAACCAAACUUCUGUUCCAAACUCUCGUUAAAUGUUCCAUCUCGGGAAAUAUUUGCCAACGUUUCUUCUGAAAGACAACCUUUAACGAAAUUCACAGAACGUUCAAUUAAUUAUAUCCUGGUGAUUAAAUACGCCGUUUUAUGGCGAACAAGAACAGGUUGUAUUUUAGGCUUAGAGACGAAGCCUUGUAGUGUAUGAACGCAGACGUUGGUGACAGUUGUUGCUUGUUUUUAUUUUAGAUCUACGAAGAAACUUGAUUAAAUCAACAUAAUUUAAACCACUCACAGAAAAUUUAUGUUAAGGCUUAGAGUUUUUAGGGUUUGCUCUGAAUCAAUUUGUCUUUUAUUACAAGUACAGUUAAUUGUAAGUUAGGAGAUGCACUAAACACAAAGACAAAUUCAUAAAAUCACCACUAGGGUGUGCAUGUGAACGUAGUAUGCUCAGUUGGUGUGAUACUGUUGAUAAUUAUAUCACAAGGUCGUCAAUGUCACAGUUGGUAAUGAUAUCACUAGGUCGUCAAUCUCACAGUUGAUAAUGAUAUCACUCGGUCGUCAAUCUCACAGUUGGUAAUGAUAUCACUAGGUCGUCAAUCUCACAGUUGGUGUGAUACAGUUGGUAAUGAUAUCACUAGGUCGUCAAUCUCACAGUUGGUAACGAUAUCACAAGGUCGUCAAUCUAAUAGUUGAUAAUGAUAUCACUAGGUCGUCAAUCUCACAAUUGGUGUGAUAUAGUUGAUAAUGAUAUCACUAGGUCGUCAAUCUCACAGUUGAUAAUGAUAUCACUAGGUCGUCAAUCUCACAGUUGAUAAUGAUAUCACUAGGUCGUCAAUCUCACAGUUGAUAAUGAUAUCACUCGGUCGUCAAUCUCACAGUUGGUAAUGAUAUCACUAGGUCGUCAAUCUCACAGUUGAUGUGAUAUAGUUGAUAAUGAUAUCACUAGGUCGUCAAUCUCACAGUUGGUAACGAUAUCACAAGGUCGUAAAUCUCACAGUUGGUAAUGAUAUCACUAGGUCGUCAAUCUCACAAUUGGUGUGAUAGAGUUGAUAAUGAUAUCACUAGGUCGUCAAUCUCACAGUUGGUAAUCAUAUCACAAGGUCGUCAAUCUCACAGUUGGUAAUGAUAUCACUAGGUCGUCAAUCUCACAGUUGGUAAUGAUAUCACUAGGUCGUCAAUUUCACAGUUGGUAAUGAUAUCACAAGGUCGUCAAUCUAAUAGUUGGUAAUGAUAUCACAAGGUCGUCAAUCUCACAAUUGGUGUGAUAGAGUUGAUAAUGAUAUCACUAGGUCGUCAAUCUCACAGUUGGUCAUGUUAAAACUGUUGACGAUACCGUUAGUUGCUAUGGUAAACUUGGUAAAUCUACCUUUAAGAGUUUCGUGUGUAACAGAUGAAGUAAACUGAAUCCUUCAGUGGAAUACGACGAUUACUCAAAUUAGAUAUUUGAAGAAGUUUUAAAAACCUUUGAAUUUUGCUUAGACUUUUAUUUCGGUAGACAAUUUCCUGUUUUAAAGCUAGUUUUACAUGUAAUACGUAAAGUGACGUCAGCAAACUGCUUCCCCAGGACAGUCUAACCCUUCCCACGAAUACUGGCCGAAGUUCAGCCAGAUUAGAAUAAAACAUAUAUUAUUAGCCUGUAUAUGUUCUCUUUAGUUGCAGAGUACAGGUUAAUAAACUAGAUGCUUCCAGCAUUCUUUACGUAAAAUGUUUAAAUAUAUCGAGGUUAUUGUUAUCUUUGCAGACGUUUCAAGAACUUUAAUUUAUCAUUUGUGAACCGAAUGUGACUUGUAUGCUAAUUCUAUAGAUUUUCUGUCUCGUGCUGCUUUUUAAUAAA
This 4019-nucleotide unclassified non-coding RNA is filed under the name Limulus polyphemus (Atlantic horseshoe crab). Its description in RNAcentral is "alpha-1A adrenergic receptor-like, transcript variant X4". The record is from RNAcentral. Lineage: Eukaryota; Metazoa; Arthropoda; Merostomata; Xiphosura; Limulidae.